This is an RNA transcript of Melospiza georgiana, 2113 nucleotides long. It is a transcript of the gene named protein ecdysoneless homolog, with no coding region annotated. The transcript has 11 exons. Lineage: Eukaryota; Metazoa; Chordata; Aves; Passeriformes; Passerellidae. The record is from RefSeq and is a predicted model, not a curated record.
UCCCUGCUGCAGCCGGGCCAUCCGCGAGCACAGGACACAAGAUUCUGUCAGCAGGGUCUGGGAUAUCCGCGGUGAGGGAGACUCCGCAGCCCGUGUGGACAAUCUGUUGCUGGGCACGGCGUUGCUGAGCCGCCUCUCCUCUCUGUGCCCCGUGCAGGCGAGAUCCCGGCGCACUUGGGCGGCCCCGCGGAGUUCGGGGAUAACGUGGAGGAUGAGUGGUUCAUUGUGUAGCUGCUGCGGGAGAUGAGCAGGGAGUUGCCGGGGCUGGCAGCCAGGUGACUUUCACUCGGUGUUUGUAUGCACAGCUGGUGCAGCAGCAGUUUGUUCCAGACAGACGCAGUGGAUACACCCUGCCCGCCCCAGCUCAUCCUCAGUACAGAGCCUGCGAGCUGGGCAUGAAGCUGGGAAUGAUUCCUGGGGCAUUUUGGCCUUGGCUCAUGCAUGUGCAGGGAAUGGGUCGUUGUCUGGAGGUUGCCUGCUUGUCCAGAGAAAUGUGAGCAAAGUCUGUCCCACCUUGAGAACCUCUUGUUGUUGCAUCUUUUGUCUGCAGGCUCAUGGCUUUGAAAUGUUGUGCUCCAAGAGCAGUAAAGUGGCUCCUGAUGCCAAGGGAAACGUGUUAAGGGGUCCUCUGUGGGAGAGAUUCCUCAGGAGCUUGAAGGAGAAGGAUUAUUUCAAGGGAGAAAUGGAAGGAUCAGCCAAGUACCUGGAGCUGUUGCACAUGGCAGAAGAUCACUUCCAGCAAUCUGUUGCAGUGCCAGAAAGCUGUGAUGAAGUGAGGCCAGGUGAUGAAAUCCUGGCACUACUACAGACAACCCCCAUUGAUCUGAAGGAAUUGGAGAGAGAAGCAGCUUGUCUUCCUGCAGAGGAUGAUGACAGCUGGCUGGAUAUGACACCAGGUGCUCUGGAUCAGAUGCUGAAGGAGACAAGAAAUGAGUCCCUUUCUUCCCCAAAUGAGGAGGAGCAAAACUAUGACUUGGAAACAGUUGCUGAGAGCAUGAAGGCUUUUGUGUCCAAAGUGUCCACGCACGAAGGAGCAGAAAUGCCAUGGUCAUCUGAUGAAUCCCAAGUUACCUUUGAUGUAGAUUCUUUUACAAAAGCCCUGGACAGAAUUUUAGGGGCAGACUCGGAGGAGCUGGAUUCUGAUGAUGUGGAUGAAGAGGAGGAGUUUGGUUUCUCAGCUGAGGAUGAUGAAGAGCUGGAUGCUGGGAAUGGAAGGCAGGAGCAGAAGGUGUCUCCUGAGGAGCUCGUGGGCAGUCUCAAGGCGUACAUGGAGGAGAUGGACCGUGAGCUGGCACAGACCAACGUUGGGAAAAGUUUCAGCAGCCACAAGAGAGGGGCAAGUUCUGUUGGAGCAGCCCCAUGUGAGAGUGCUGGCCCUGACUGUGGAGCUGAGGCUGCUGAGCUGGCAGCCCUGGAUGUGGACAUGAACCUGGUGGCAAAGCUGCUCGAGUCCUACAGUGCCCAGGCUGGCCUGGCAGGACCCACCUCGAGCAUUUUACAGAGCCUGGGGGUGAAUUUACCUGAGAGCACAGAGCUCACUGGCAGCUGAGCAAGGCAGGGAGAGCCUUGGCACCAGACAUGGCUGCUGGGGAGAUGGAGCACAGACACACGAGCAGGAUGGGGGAGAAGAGGCCAAAGCAGUUCAGGGAGAGCACUGGCAGGUUGGACAGGGAUUAGAGAUGGACAGCAAGAGCUGGGAAGUGUGAAGAAGGUUCUGCUAAAUUUCAAGGAAUUUGGACUGCUGAGAGCAGCUUCCCAGGGGAGCCCUGCAGGGCUCUGGGAGUGCUCCCAGGAGAGUUUGCCAUGGCAGAAGAAGCAUUUCCAUGCUGCCUCUUCCUCUGCUUUGAGCAGGCCAACGCUGCCAGAUGGAAAUUGCCAAGGGCACGAGGCUGGCAAGUGAAGAGCAGAGCUGCUGUGAAGGGAAAGCUCAGUUCAUUCAGAGAGAUCACACAGGUCACUUGAGUGCAGGUAGGAAGCAGAAAAUGAGAGAUUUCCAGUAAAACUUUUGUAGUUUGGUGGAGACAAGGAGUCGUGCUACCCAAUGGCUGCAGGGAUGGUGAUCCAAAUUAGUUCUGAGCAGAUUUCCCUUUUUUUUUUAAUUGGUGAGAGUCAU